GUCAGGAUGGCCGAGUGGUCUAAGGCGCUGCGUUCAGGUCACAGUCCACCCUGGAGGUGUGGGUUCGAAUCCCACUCCUGACA
Molecule: non-coding RNA, 83 nt
Organism: Nycticebus coucang (slow loris)
Lineage: Eukaryota; Metazoa; Chordata; Mammalia; Primates; Lorisidae
Source: the annotation of a RefSeq genome assembly